UCAUGGCUCAGAUUGAACGCUGGCGGCAUGCCUUACACAUGCAAGUCGAACGGCAGCGGACCUUCGGGUGCCGGCGAGUGGCGAACGGGUGAGUAAUAUAUCGGAACGUACCUUUCAGUGGGGGAUAACGUAGCGAAAGUUACGCUAAUACCGCAUAUUCUGUGAGCAGGAAAGCAGGGGAUCGCAAGACCUUGCGCUGAUUGAGCGGCCGAUAUCAGAUUAGCUAGUUGGUGAGGUAAAGGCUCACCAAGGCGACGAUCUGUAGCGGGUCUGAGAGGAUGAUCCGCCACACUGGAACUGAGACACGGUCCAGACUCCUACGGGAGGCAGCAGUGGGGAAUUUUGGACAAUGGGCGCAAGCCUGAUCCAGCCAUGCCGCGUGAAUGAAGAAGGCCUUAGGGUUGUAAAAUUCUUUCAGAUGCGAAGAUAAUGACGGUACCAUCAGAAGAAGCUCCGGCUAAAUUCGUG
Molecule: ribosomal RNA, 468 nt
Filed under: uncultured bacterium
Lineage: Bacteria
Description: bacterial SSU rRNA
Rfam family: Bacterial small subunit ribosomal RNA
Source: RNAcentral